This 433-nucleotide ribosomal RNA is filed under the name uncultured bacterium. RNAcentral's name for it is "partial 16S ribosomal RNA". It matches the Rfam family "Bacterial small subunit ribosomal RNA", at positions 29 to 507 of the family's 1533-position model. The record is from RNAcentral.
AACGAACGCUGGCGGCAUGCCUAACACAUGCAAGUCGAACGAGACCUUCGGGUCUAGUGGCGCACGGGUGCGUAACGCGUGGGAACCUGCCCUUAGGUUCGGAAUAACUCCCCGAAAGGGGUGCUAAUACCGGAUAAUGUCUUCGGACCAAAGAUUUAUCGCCUUUGGAUGGGCCCGCGUUGGAUUAGCUAGUUGGUAGGGUAAAAGCCUACCAAGGCGACGAUCCAUAGCUGGUCUGAGAGGAUGAUCAGCCACACUGGGACUGAGACACGGCCCAGACUCCUACGGGAGGCAGCAGUGGGGAAUACUGGACACUGGGCGAAAGCCUGAUAAAGCAAUGCCGCGUGAGUGAUGAAGGCCUUAGGGUUGUAAAGCUCUUUUACACGGGAUGAUAAUGACAGUACCGGGAGAAUAAGCUCCGGCUAACUCCGUG